GGCUCACCCUACUGACUCCCCCAUAUACACUGUAGCAGGCUCACCCUUUCAACAAACUAAUAAAUGGGAAACAUUUGAUGAGGUAUUAAUUAGUAUUUGUUGUUUUGAAAUCUCCCCCCUUUCCUCUCUUUCCCCUUCCUUCAGUCUUUCCUUGGCUGUUUCCUUUGCAAUGAAGAAGCUCUCUAAUUUAAUAUAGCAUGUGUUUCAUAUGUGUAUGUUGCACUGGGAACUAGGGUACUGCUUUUAUUAUUUUUUUUAAUGAAGAUGUCUUCCAGUUGGUGUUUACUUUUCUCCCGUGUAGAGACUUCAGUUAUAAAAUUCUGUCAUGAAAAUUCAUAUCUCAUUAACAUCAUGACUAGCAAACCAUAGUGUGUUUGUGCCUGAACAAAGAAACAUCUAUUUUGAGUCCUAAGUCUUAUAAUAUCCCAUAAGAAUAUUGUCCCAUUCAUCAAGUGCAGCCCAAUUCUUAUCUUUCUCAAAGAAAAAAAAAUCUUUUUACAAAUUUAGUAGAAAUCAUGCUUCCUCUAUGAACCAACGGACUAUCCUUUCUGGACACAGAUGUGAACAGCUGUUGCUAGUCCUCAGGGGAGGACCCCAGGCUGUCUUUCCUUCUUUCUCAUUCCCACACCUAUAAAUUUGGCCUGUUCACACUUUCCAGGGAUGAAUUCAGUCUUCAGAGUCAUGGUAACCAGUCCCAGACUGUGCAACUGACACGCUUUGAAAUGCCAGCAUAUAAGAUGCAUGGAGUCUGCUGCUAUCCCGGAGCUUCAGAUAUCUGGAUAAAUACAGACUGGAGUAAAUGCUAACAGUUACCACACAGCUGCUUGUGCAAACUAUAGACGAUAGAGUCUGGAGUUCGGCAGACCAGCCAAAACGCCACGGUUGCCUCCUGAUGACCUACAUCUGCUCUCUGCCUGGAGCCAAUAAUGCAAGCAGUAUUUUCAUCACGAAGCAUCUAGAGAGAAAAGAUUUCACAACUUCCUAG
RNAcentral lists this long non-coding RNA (985 nucleotides) under Mus spicilegus (steppe mouse). RNAcentral describes it as "lncRNA (ENSMSIG00000019088.1)". Lineage: Eukaryota; Metazoa; Chordata; Mammalia; Rodentia; Muridae. The record is from RNAcentral.